RNAcentral lists this ribosomal RNA (472 nucleotides) under uncultured bacterium. RNAcentral's name for it is "partial 16S ribosomal RNA". It matches the Rfam family "Bacterial small subunit ribosomal RNA", at positions 28 to 507 of the family's 1533-position model. The record is from RNAcentral.
GACGAACGCUGGCGGCGUGCUUAACACAUGCCAGUCGAACGAUGAACCCGGAGCUUGCUCUGGGGGAUUAGUGGCGAACGGGUGAGUAACACGUGAGUAACCUGCCCUGGACUCUGGGAUAAGCGUUGGAAACGACGUCUAAUACCGGAUAGGACCUUGGAUCGCAUGAUCUGGGGUGGAAAGUUUUUUCGGUCUGGGAUGGACUCGCGGCCUAUCAGCUUGUUGGUGAGGUAAUGGCUCACCAAGGCGUCGACGGGUAGCCGGCCUGAGAGGGUGACCGGCCACACUGGGACGGAGACACGGACCAGACUCCUACGGGAGGCAGCAGUGGGGAAUAUUGCACAAUGGGCGAAAGCCUGAUGCAGCAACGCCGCGUGCGGGAUGACGGCCGUCGGGUUGUAAACAGCUUUUAGUAGGGAAGAAGGGCUUCGGCUUGACGGUACCUGCAGAAAAAGGACCGGCUAACUACGUG